AGUGAACGCUGGCGGUAGGCCUAACACAUGCAAGUCGAACGGCAGCACAGUAAGAGCUUGCUCUUACGGGUGGCGAGUGGCGGACGGGUGAGGAAUACAUCGGAAUCUACUUUUUCGUGGGGGAUAACGUAGGGAAACUUACGCUAAUACCGCAUACGACCUACGGGUGAAAGCAGGGGAUCUUCGGACCCUGCGCGAUUGAAUGAGCCGAUGUCGGAUUAGCUAGUUGGCGGGGUAAAGGCCCACCAAGGCGACGAUCCGUAGCUGGUCUGAGAGGAUGAUCAGCCACACUGGAACUGAGACACGGUCCAGACUCCUACGGGAGGCAGCAGUGGGGAAUAUUGGACAAAGGGCGCAAGCCUGAUCCAGCCAUACCGCGUGGGUGAAGAAGGCCUUCGGGUUGUAAAACCCUUUUGUUGGGAAAGAAAAGCAGCAGGUUAAUACCCCGCUGUUCUGACGGUACCCAAAGAAUAAGCACCGGCUAACUUCGUG
This 492-nucleotide ribosomal RNA is filed under the name uncultured bacterium. Its description in RNAcentral is "partial 16S ribosomal RNA". It matches the Rfam family "Bacterial small subunit ribosomal RNA", at positions 29 to 507 of the family's 1533-position model. The record is from RNAcentral.